Non-coding RNA from Heterocephalus glaber (naked mole-rat), 351 nucleotides. Lineage: Eukaryota; Metazoa; Chordata; Mammalia; Rodentia; Bathyergidae. The record is from RefSeq and is a predicted model, not a curated record.
CUGCCCCUGUGCCAGACGGAUUGGAUUCUGCUCUGUGUUCUCUCUAGAGACAGGGCCAGAGGGUGCCUUGUGCCCGAUGCUUCCGUCAGUGCGGCCCUGUCCCGCAGAGAGGAAUCAGCCGCAGGUCCAGACUCCAGCCCGAGGGAGGUGCCGGGAGUCCAGCAGCCGAGGAGCGUGGCCCAGUGGAAACUUUCACAUGUUCCCAACAGAGAGAAAUACAGAAGCUCGAGGUGAUAGAUGUGCCAAUUAGCCGGAUCUCUACGUGCUGUAUACCUGUAUGGAAAGACCACAACUCCCCAUAAAUAUGUACAAGUACUUUGUAUUAAUUAAAAAUAAAAUUAGAAAUCCUGA